RNAcentral lists this ribosomal RNA (751 nucleotides) under Bacillus pumilus. Its description in RNAcentral is "bacterial SSU rRNA". It matches the Rfam family "Bacterial small subunit ribosomal RNA", at positions 46 to 781 of the family's 1533-position model. The record is from RNAcentral. Lineage: Bacteria; Bacillati; Bacillota; Bacilli; Caryophanales; Bacillaceae.
GCUAAUACAUGCAAGUCGAGCGGACAGAAGGGAGCUUGCUCCCGGAUGUUAGCGGCGGACGGGUGAGUAACACGUGGGUAACCUGCCUGUAAGACUGGGAUAACUCCGGGAAACCGGAGCUAAUACCGGAUAGUUCCUUGAACCGCAUGGUUCAAGGAUGAAAGACGGUUUCGGCUGUCACUUACAGAUGGACCCGCGGCGCAUUAGCUAGUUGGUGGGGUAAUGGCUCACCAAGGCGACGAUGCGUAGCCGACCUGAGAGGGUGAUCGGCCACACUGGGACUGAGACACGGCCCAGACUCCUACGGGAGGCAGCAGUAGGGAAUCUUCCGCAAUGGACGAAAGUCUGACGGAGCAACGCCGCGUGAGUGAUGAAGGUUUUCGGAUCGUAAAGCUCUGUUGUUAGGGAAGAACAAGUGCGAGAGUAACUGCUCGCACCUUGACGGUACCUAACCAGAAAGCCACGGCUAACUACGUGCCAGCAGCCGCGGUAAUACGUAGGUGGCAAGCGUUGUCCGGAAUUAUUGGGCGUAAAGGGCUCGCAGGCGGUUUCUUAAGUCUGAUGUGAAAGCCCCCGGCUCAACCGGGGAGGGUCAUUGGAAACUGGGAAACUUGAGUGCAGAAGAGGAGAGUGGAAUUCCACGUGUAGCGGUGAAAUGCGUAGAGAUGUGGAGGAACACCAGUGGCGAAGGCGACUCUCUGGUCUGUAACUGACGCUGAGGAGCGAAAGCGUGGGGAGCGAACAGGAUUAG